AUGGGUGGCCUGAUUGAGCGCCUUAAUGGGCCGUUCUUGUGUACGAGAGAGGGAUUCAAGGGGGAAAGGGUCGGGCAGUUCUAUUUCGACAGGGAAGAGGAUGCAACGUCUUCUUUGACGGGGGCAAUUCUCUGUACAUAUGUCAAACUCUCAGCUUCUCAAUUUGGUGGAGUUGGGCUUUCCCAGCUUCGCAGUUUUACACUACGGUCAGCUACAGCUUCUCAGAUCCAGCUUCUUGGUGCUAAAACGUUAGGCUCGACUCCAACUUUAGAGUUUGUGGAGUUGGCAGCUGGAGGACAUCAAAACAUGCCCAUAGGGAGUAAAAAAAGUAUGAAAACCAAUAACACCAACGACGCAGCAAAGCACGCCGUACCCUUCUAUUAUCUCUACUACAUAGUACACAAAUUUUUGAACAUGGACUCGUCGCCCGCCAUGAUGUAG
This 441-nucleotide ribosomal RNA is filed under the name Triticum aestivum (bread wheat). RNAcentral describes it as "partial small subunit ribosomal RNA". Lineage: Eukaryota; Viridiplantae; Streptophyta; Magnoliopsida; Poales; Poaceae. The record is from RNAcentral.